This is a long non-coding RNA of Pezoporus occidentalis (night parrot), 3609 nucleotides long. RefSeq lists it as uncharacterized. The record is from RefSeq and is a predicted model, not a curated record. Lineage: Eukaryota; Metazoa; Chordata; Aves; Psittaciformes; Psittacidae. The transcript has 2 exons.
GCAACAGCGGCCCUGUGGGGCUCCCUUCCUGUGGGGCUGGGCCUCCUUCCGUUCUUCCUUCUCAGCGGUACGGGGCCUUCGCCUUCUUUCUGUGUACGCUCUGCAGCAGGCUCGCCUCACGUGUGUAUUGCGCGGGUAGCCCUGCGGUGGCCUGGCCCGGUUGUGGUGGUCGGCGGACCCCCCUCCCGGUGCCUCUCCUUUCGGCUGUCGCCGGGGUCGGGAGCACUGCGUGGCUGGCGGUGUGGUGACGGCCUUCCCCAUCGCUUCCUGUGUGGUUGUGCAGGGUAAGAAGAGCGGUGCGUGAGCAGCCCGCGCUCACAGGGGUGAAGGCUGGGUUGGGGAGCAGUUGUAAGCUGGUGGGAGCUGAGUAUCGCCCUGAGAGGAUCUAUUGCACACCGGUAUUAUCCUGAGGGGGGUGAUGCUGGUGUGAGGUAGAGUCAGGUGAAUUCUGGCUGAUGUCUGCCAAAUCACCCUGCUCCUCCUAAGUGGGGCUCUUCUCGUGUGUUAUUUAUGAUUCUCGGUCCUCACAUUGCUGCUAGUGUUUCAUAACAGCUUUAAAGCAAUGCGUACUGUAUACAUGCUUGUUAGCCUGUGGGACAGGACCUUGCUGCUCAUAGAAUCACAGAAUCGUUAGGGUUGGAAAGAACCUCUGAAGAUCACCGGAUCCACCCCCCCCUGCCAAGGCAGGGUCACCUGGAGCAGGGUACACAAGGCUCCCUUACACAGCUUCAUGUGUAACUGUGUCUUACUCCAGUACAGGAUGGAUAGAUAAAUCUGUCCUAGUUAAUGUAUUAUAGCUUUUGAAGGCCCUCACCUGAUGCUGACUCUUUCUGAGACGCAUGUCAGCAGUGGUUUUAUUCCCACAGUUAUGGCUGGAGGGUUGCAUUCUCAUGCAGUUCUUAUCAGAGAAAUCAUAAGCUUCCUCUUAUUAUGGUACAAUUGUCACUGGUGUGGUAAGUGCUGAAGAAUCCUGUCUCCUUUUAGAGGUUGCUGUUUGGCUUCCACAGCACUGGUGCCUCCUUCUGUAACAAGUGUUUGUGGCUUAUUAAUCAUCUAACUGUUACAGCAUGUUCAGCUUGCAUACCGUGUUUAUCAAUGAUUAUCAUGCUCAGCCACAUUUGUAAUGUUCCUUACGUUGAUCCAUUCUAGUCAAUCACUGAUAUGAUGUUCAUAGAACACCCAGUUCGGCCGUCUGCAUUCGUGAUAACUUAUUUUCAGACCUUAUUUGAUAAUGUUUAUUUCCUGUGCAGGGAGUUUUGCUAUGGACAGCUAGUCUUGGGUUGUUGCUAUCUCGGUUCAUCUACUUUUCCUUCUUCCUAGAUGCUUGCUUCGUUCUCAUGUUGUAAGUGAAGCUUAAAUAAAUUCUCUUGUCUCUUCUUGGAUCAGUGGAUGUGUUGCCUUUCUUAUUAUUCUAGCCAUCACUUGUUUCAGUCUUAAGAGUAAGGAGGAGGUGCUAUUAAAAAAAAAAACCCUAGGAGCUAAUGUUUGGGUUCUUCUGUUCUCCUGCCUUAUUCUUAAAACCAGUUGUAUUUCAGCUUUUGCAUGGGAAGUCCUCUGUGGUACUGAACGAACUAGCUGCACAGAGGAUGAGGCUGAUCUAAGAUUGUGCCAGACUUUUCUUCUAGGGCCAGAAAAGCCGUGGAGGUUAGCUAAAAUCUUCCAUCUUGCAAAACUGUUUCUGAAGAAGUUAAGCUUUAAAAUUAAUUUGUUCUACUCUUCUUGUAAAAGCUGAGUUUUUUUGAUUCGGGAAAUAAACACCAGCUUAGACUUAGUGUUUCAUAAAGCUGUGUUAUUAGAUGUGUCAUGUGAAAACCAGGAGGUUAAUACAUUGAAAUAGUCAUUGUUCUGGGAUGUAGUAUUGGGAAGGAAAGGUGGCAGAAUAACAGUGUUUGUUCUCAACAGCAGGUAUGUGGAGAGGUUAUCCAAAUCUGCUAAGUUCCAGCUGUACUUCUGGGUGUGAUUUGAUGUACUACAGAACAUCAAAUUCUACAGUACAUAGCUUUAGAGCAGUGAUUCAGGCCUCCUAUGGCUGAAGUCUUGCUGUCUUCUGUGUGUAUAAUUUAACCUCACUUGACAAUGGAGAUGUCCUGGAUGCUCCUAGAUUCACAUUGCUCUGUUACUCCCUUUUCUUGCUCUGUAUCUCCAGCCUCUUCUCCCUUACUUUCAUGGUGCCAGAACUCUGAUUAAGUUAAGGAGGAAUGGGAUUUAGCAAAGUCUCUAGCAGGGGUGUAUGUGCUGGGGUCUUUGGUCCUUGUAAUCCUUGUUGAAAGAUGCAGAUGCAGACACCAGCCUGGCACUGGUUUUCUGGACUUUUCAGCAAAAGCCUAAAUUAUGAUAGUCAGUAUAAUGGAGUCUCCAUCUACACUUUUGUGUUUCUCUGGAAGAUUGUCUUUCUUGAUGUGUUGUAGCUCUGAAUUGCUAUUCUUAAUGUGUACUAGAGAUCAGCUGUACUUACAGGCAAAUCUUUCCCCUUCAGCCUAAAUAGCUGGUGAAGUUUAAGCUUAUAUGCAGUUAAAAGUCUGAUCAGACUCAGCUGAUUGUGGUCAAUUUGAUUGAAUUUCAGUGUGCAAGGGCAGUUUGUCCUUCUUACAGAGAAGCAAAAGUCCCAUUUGCCCAACAUGUGGGUGGCAAUGAUGCUAACCUAGUCAGGCAGCUAUCAGCCUUUUCUAGCUCUAAGAAAGUUUCUGUGCCCAACAGCUUGUCUUUUCUCCAGCUAUAUCAGUUGACUUGAUGAUAAGGAUAGUCUCUCAGUGCCAGCAGCAGGCAGCAGUAAUUCAAAAUGCCUUGCAAAGCAGUUCUGUGCAAACCAGGUGCUUGAAACAUCUUUGUGCCUUUGCUCUGUUAGCAGUAAUGGCAGCGGAAGGAAGUGUCACACUUGCAAUGUACAGAAGAUACUAAUCUGUAUCUCUAGAUUGACCAAGAAGUGCAGUUGCCUAGCACUUACUGCUGUUGAGAAAUAUUUGUGUUUCUCAUCAUCCUGGGUUUGGUCUGACUAUAAUAAAAGGCAGUGACAACUUCCUCUACUAAUAAGGACUGAGCUCUUAUAAACACAAAAACCCUCUGAAACUUGUGAUGUACUGGUUGCUAAUAAUUGAGCUACAGUCCUACUCAGGACAUUGAGUCCUCAAAUAGCAGGCUUCUCAUGGCAAGGACAAGUGACUGCUAACGAGUUCAGCAAUUUGUCACACUUCUAAACAUAUUUACAUCUUCAGAAUGCUUUUGCAUAGAGAUAACAGCUUCCAGGAGGAUUAUGUUGAGGUUGUUCAAGCCUGGCUCUCCCUUAACUGGACCACCCAAUUCUGUGAAAUGUUGGUUGGGCAUAUGUGAAUAUGCAAGACUGUACUGAGUCAAGUAACAAGAUGCACUGUCAUUUACAGUGAGCAUCCCUGUAAGAGCAUGAGCCUCCUGUCUGUUAUGGACAAACUGAGGGAAUGACUCUGCAAAUCUUCUGUACUGCUGUGGAGCAGAGCUGUUUGUCAGGAGAAACAAAAUGAGCAAAGGUUUUGAAGAUUUCAGAGUCAAGUGGCACCUCAGCUUUUGAUCAUGUUCAGGUGUGUUCAGACUGCUUGAGCUGGACCAGUUUUGAAUAAAGCUUCUCUGCUGUUUUAA